This 231-nucleotide ribosomal RNA is filed under the name uncultured bacterium. RNAcentral's name for it is "partial 16S ribosomal RNA". It matches the Rfam family "Bacterial small subunit ribosomal RNA", at positions 118 to 350 of the family's 1533-position model. The record is from RNAcentral.
UGGGUGAUCUGCCCUGCACUUUGGGAUAAGCCUGGGAAACUGGGUCUAAUACCGAAUAGGACUACGGCCUGCAUGGCUUGUGGUGGAAAGCUUUUGCGGUGUGGGAUGGGCCCGCGGCCUAUCAGCUUGUUGGUGGGGUUUUGGCCUACCAAGGCGACGACGGGUAGCCGGCCUGAGAGGGUGUCCGGCCACACUGGGACUGAGAUACGGCCCAGACUCCUACGGGAGGCA